CAACCUGCUGGGAGGACAGGUGCUGGCAGUGUCAUGACCAUGGGCGAUGAAUCCGGCCUGUCCUAGGAGCUGACAACUAUAUCUUUGUCUCGCUGGAUUUGCAAACUGACACAACAUAAGGAAUGUCCCUCUCUAUUACUCGAUAAUCACACGCAUCUCGGUGGCAUUGGAAGCCCUGGGAGCAAAUAUCUGGGCCACAACUGCCCUCUCACUCCAGCGUGACGGGCCGAAGCUGCUGCACUGGGACAGUGACGCUCCCUUCCUUGGAGGCUUGUUGCUGUGUUUGGGAAGCUGCAUGGGCAGGGCCAAGGGUGGCCUCCAGCCAAGAGCCAGCUAGAAACCGGGCCCCUCUGUCCAACAACCCAGAAGGAGUGGAAUACCGCCAACUACCACGGAUCAUCUGGCCUCUUCCAUAUUCACUUCCCCACCUGGACCACACUGCUGAUGUGGGCAAACUUCGGUCCCAGCCUUGGCCAACAAAGUGCUGUGAACAGAUUCAGCUGCUUUACAUGACUGCUUCUCAGGCUUCCUGGGAUUGCUGCAAUUUUGGACAUUACUUCUGCUUAACCUGUCACAUAAAAAGGUGCGGGGGAUGGUCUACCCUCACUGAUUGGGACCAAGUGAGAGCAGCGAGGCCAAGUGGAGCAGCUUCAGUGAUUGCGAACAGGAUACUGGUAAAUGAGCAGGACUCCGGAGUUGGUGAGAUUGUCCUGACAACAUCAAGCACAGCCUGAAAGGAGGCAAGCGAACACAGUGUGUUUUCAAAAUCCCAGUUCUCGUGCUGUGUGUAUGUACAUAUGUGUGUUCUCAUUUAUUCCUGGGAGCUCACCUCACCCUCUUUAAGUCCCAAGUCUGACACGCACAAUCCCCAUUCUUGCAUCAAUCUCCUUGGUGCAGAAACUCUCAUUUUAGUCCCUGGCACCCCAAUGCAAAUUGUUGACAGUGUGUAAUCUCUGUGCUUAAGUAUUCCCUUCAGUUAAGUCACAAAAAGGCUACCCUCUGUUAAAGAGUACUUCAGUCAUCAGAGAAUAGGUGGGAGAAAUAACUAUAUUGGUGGACCUGGGACUCUCUCAAAAAAGGGUUAGUCCUCCUUCAUCUAAGUUUGACCUUGCCUUUGAGAGAUGAUGGAGCCUUGGCAGAUUUAAAUUACUUUUCUUGGAUAUUACUCUUUAAUAGUUGGCUAUUCCUUUGAUUUAAUCAUAACAUAAUACCUCACCCUAUUUAAUCAAAACACAGUACUAAUUAAAGAAAACUAUUAAUAUAUUUUUUAUUUGUUUAAUAUAUAAUGCCAGCCAUAUAGGUGACAUUCCAUGUAUUAUGGCUAGAUGAAUGAAUGAAUGACUUCUUGGCUACAUGCUACCAAUUGUGUGUACGUAUUUUGUGUUCAGCCUGUUUGAUCAGAAGAGUUACAUGCAGGCCAGUUUGCUUUGCUUCGUUCUGGGAUUCUCGGCUACACUUCCGACCAUGCUGCCUCGUACAUCUAUCUUGUUAGAUGUAGAAGGAAUAACACGAAAGGGUGUGGACAUAAUUAAAAAACCCUAUCAUUACAAAAUUGAAAUCAGGAUAACACAGCUCUACAUCUGUGUAUUUGGGGUGUUAAUAAUCUCACAAAGCCAAGGUAAUCAGAAGCAGAAAUAUCAAAACUCAGCUGGCAAGAGGCAUCUAAGUUAUUGAGAUACACAGGGUCUGGCAGAAGUCAGGCCUGCUUGAGUGUGGUUGGUAGGGUAAUGAUACGGGUGUAAUAAUUUAUAGUUUUAAUUUGAACAUGUCACCUAAAAUGCUAUAUGGUAUGCUUGAGUGUGAUAUUGUUCUGUUACAGAAUUACAUGCUUAUGAUCUGGUCAUAAAAGAUUUUGUAAUAAAAAAGGGGCAUUAUUUGUGCUGAACCCUGUACUUCUAGCUACUUACAACCAAAAACACGUUUAAAGUGUAACUUAAAACCAUAGAAAAUGAAUGAGGUCAAAGUUCAUAUUUGUAAUAUGGAAUAUAAAUUUCCCAAUCUGUACCACAUCUGUGGAAAGGAAAACACGGGCCACCAGAAGUCAGGAAGGCGCCCACUGUAGAGAGGCAGCCUGAUGCAGUGUUGCUUCUGAGGCCCGCCACGGACAAGUCGUGUGAACCACUGAGGGUCUAAACAAAUGGAAGCAAGCCCUUGGAUAUUCACUGUGAGAAUAACGCAGUGUACUAAUGGUUUGAAAUCCCACCUGUAUUAUUCAUUAUUCUCUUAGUCCCUCUUUGGAGUUGAGAAAAAAAGAGAGAGAGCAGACAGUCUCAUAGAAUGAGUUAACACCAGGACCAAAACAGAACUAAACAUGUUUUUGCCUUUCAUUCAGAUUUUCCCAUACAAGAUGGGACAAAACCUCUAUGUUAACUUGGAAAGAAGAUGUUAGGAAAGAUAAAAAAGGGAAGUUUUGUCGUUCAUUCACUCAACAAAGAUUUUUGAGACCUAUUAUAUAGUAGGAAAUAUACUGGCUGGUGAAAGUUCAGAGAUGACCACAGUCUGGUUGGCAGGGUAUGUCAAACAAAAGUACCCAAAUAAUUACAUAAUUACAAUUGUGAUGACUGUACAAUGGAGUACAGGGUGUUAAAAUAGCAAAGAGCAGGGGUGGCAAAUCCAGUCAAGAGGAGCUGGGAAGACCGGAGAAUUUCUUGGAGGAAGUGAUAUUUAAUCAGGACCUGAGGGAAGUAAUAUUUAAUAUAGAAUCAUGGGGUGAGGAAGGAUGCAAUGAGGUGGGGAGAGAUAUUCAGGGAUAGAGAACGACAGGACGCCAGGAAGGGCGCCAUGACCAGGCUGCUGGGAGAAGCUCAGCACAACAGAGUGAAUGGGGCAGGAGGGUAACAGGAAGUGCGGGGAGAGAGGUCAAUAGGGAAACGGCAGAUCACAUGCGCUCAUGUAAACGCAUUUACAUUCUAUUCUCAGAACAAUCGGAAGCCUCCAAAACAUUUCAGGCUAUGGAGUGACACUAGUGCUGCAUUUGGUGAAGUUCAUUCUGGCUGUGAUAUGGACAGUGGGCUAGAGAGGAGUCAGGGCGGACACAAGGAGAGCAGCUAGGGGUUGUUUCUAUGGCUAGUGAGAUGGUGGUGGAUGAAGAAGCAUAGAAAGAAACAGCAUGAUAUCUAUUCUGAAGGUAAAAUUGAUAGGCCUUGAUAAUUGAAUAUGUCAGCUAAGAAAGAAAGAAAGUAUCAAGUCCCAAGUUUCCAGGAGGAGCAAUUAGGCGACACUUACUGAGGGAUGCAGGAGAAGGGGCAGGUUUGAGAGGAUGCAGUACCAGCAGCCAACAGGCAACUGGUAUAGGGCUCUGCUGUUCUGAAGAGAGGCACUGGGGAAAAGAGGCUGGUCUAUGGGAGUGAAUGAAAGCACCAGGGAAAGAGUGUAGAUUAAAAAGGUGGAGUGGAUCUAGGGCCAAGCCAAGAAGGAUCUAAUAUGUGAAAUUCAGAUGGAAGAAAACAGCUCCUUAAAGAGAGGGGGGAGGAACCCUCAGGAAAAGAGGAGGAAAACUUGUUUAUCAAGGAGAGACUAGUAAGAUGAAGGCAGGUUUAAGUCAGACUGAUGGCGAAGUGUCCUUUGCAAUAUGAGCAAAGCAAGCCAGUGGAGUGGCCAGGACAGAACCCAGAUUGGUGUGGACAGGGAGUAAAGGGAUGGGUGGUGGGGGAAAAAGCAGAUGGCUCUGUUUAGAUGGGGAAACAACUAUAGUCAGAAGAGAUUCCUGGAUUCAGGGAGGACUUUUAUUUUUUUUUAAAGGAGAAAAAUAGAAAUACUGAUAGCAAGCAGCCACAGAUGGGAAGAAGUUGAAGACUUGGGAGAAAAAGUGCGUAACCCAUUCAGGGAAGUCCGCGGGAAGACAGAACAGAUGGAAUCAGAGCGCAGGUGGAAGUCACCGUGGAUGGCAGGUGGGGCCACUUCCUCCACCGUAGCAGCAGAAGGUUAGGGGAGGAGAGCAUGGGAACUAGAGGAAAGUGCUUACAGGUGUGGUGUAGAUAUUGGAGCUAGUUCUCUGCAGGUGGCUCCUGUUAACUCUCUGAAACAUAAAGCAGGUACUCUGGAGGAAGAGAGGAGUGGAAGAUGGGGUGUGGGGAUGAAAUUUCAAACCAGGGGCAGCAUGAAAUGAUUAUUACAGAGAACAACUUAACUACAGAAGUAAUUACUGAAUGAAAAAUGGGCCCUUUUAAGUAUUUGCAACAAGAGUCAAUUAGUCAGAAGUUGAAGUACUAUAUCAGAUAUAAAUCCUAAAGCACUAUUCUCUCACUUGUCCCCUCUUAGAUGUGGUAUGGUAUUCAAUGUCGUUCUUCGUCUAAUUUGUAAUUCCGCACAACUUAAAUCUUUCAUCUUGGAAACUGUGUUUUGAGCAGAAGUUUCUUCAAGUGGAAAACACUUAAUUACAAAAAGUAAAAAUAAAUUGUCAAAAAAAAAAAAAGGUGUGAAACAGGCACCUUUCUAGGCCAAGCGGCAUGCAUACCUUCAUUCAACCACCUCCCAGCUGUUCGGUCCCUGAUUCCUUCCCCACCUUCCUCAUUGGUUCUCUUAUUCCUCUAACACCCAGCCAAGGCCUGACUACUCCACAGUAUUGGUAUUUC
Artibeus jamaicensis (Jamaican fruit-eating bat) is the source of this 4574-nucleotide long non-coding RNA. RefSeq lists it as uncharacterized. The transcript is spliced from 4 exons. Lineage: Eukaryota; Metazoa; Chordata; Mammalia; Chiroptera; Phyllostomidae. The record is from RefSeq and is a predicted model, not a curated record.